Molecule: long non-coding RNA, 355 nt
Filed under: Olea europaea (common olive)
Lineage: Eukaryota; Viridiplantae; Streptophyta; Magnoliopsida; Lamiales; Oleaceae
Description: long non-coding RNA (OEUR_LNC001234)
Source: RNAcentral
CUCCCACAGCUGUCCAAUUGUGCAGCCUCCAAUGAAAUCCACACAGAGAGAAGACAACAACUGCUAGGGUUUCUUUCUUGUGCUAGCAAGAAUAAUGAAUAACUUUUUGGACCUCAAACCCUAGCUGCAUAUAUAUAUAAACCCAAACGGACCCGGCCCGGUCCGGUCCAAUAUUUAAUUAAUCCAAUUAAUCAAACCCGGUCCGUGAAUUAAUUAAUCCAAUUAAUUAAUUCGGGAUUAUAAAUAAGAAAUUCAAUUAAUUAAUUUAUCCAACGAUUGUUAAAUUAAUCAAUUAACAAUUUGCAGUCUUCCAAUUCUCUUUUGUGUGCGACCCAUUAGGUUCCCGACCACGAUG